This 470-nucleotide ribosomal RNA is filed under the name uncultured Syntrophaceae bacterium. RNAcentral describes it as "bacterial SSU rRNA". It matches the Rfam family "Bacterial small subunit ribosomal RNA", at positions 900 to 1382 of the family's 1533-position model. Lineage: Bacteria; Pseudomonadati; Thermodesulfobacteriota; Syntrophia; Syntrophales; Syntrophaceae. The record is from RNAcentral.
CUUAAAGGAAUUGAGGACCCCGCACAAGCGGUGGAUCAUGUUGUUAAUUCGAUGAUACGCGAAGACCUUACCAGGUCUUGACAUCCCUUGCAAAGCUAUGGAGACAUAGUGGAGGUUAUCAAGGAGACAGGUGGUGCAUGGUUGUCGUCAGCUCGUGUCGUGAGAUGUUGGGUUAAGUCCCGCAACGAGCGCAACCCUUAUUGCUAGUUACCAUCAUUAAGUUGGGCACUCUAAAGAGACUGCCGGUGUCAACGGAGAAGUGGGGAUGACGUCAAGUCCUCAUGGCCUUUAUGCCCAGGGCUACACACGUGCUACAAUGGGCGGUACAAAGAGAAGCAACCUCGCGAGGGUGAGCAAAUCUCAAAAAGCCGUUCUCAGUUCGGAUUGAAGUCUGCAACUCGACUUCAUGAAGUCGGAAUCGCUAGUAAUCGCGGAUCAGCAUGCCGCGGUCGAAUACGUUCCCGGGCCUU